This 23-nucleotide non-coding RNA is filed under the name Cricetulus griseus (Chinese hamster). The record is from RNAcentral. Lineage: Eukaryota; Metazoa; Chordata; Mammalia; Rodentia; Cricetidae.
AAUAGUCUUCAUUGUUUAUAUUC